This 490-nucleotide ribosomal RNA is filed under the name uncultured bacterium. RNAcentral's name for it is "partial 16S ribosomal RNA". It matches the Rfam family "Bacterial small subunit ribosomal RNA", at positions 30 to 507 of the family's 1533-position model. The record is from RNAcentral.
AUUGAACGCUGGCGGCAGGCCUAACACAUGCAAGUCGAACGGUAACAGGAAGAAGCUUGCUUCUUUGCUGACGAGGGGCGGACGGGUGAGUAAUGUCUGGGAAACUGCCUGAUGGAGGGGGAUAACUACUGGAAACGGUAGCUAAUACCGCAUAACGUCGCAAGACCAAAGAGGGGGACCUUCGGGCCUCUUGCCAUCGGAUGUGCCCAGAUGGGAUUAGCUAGUAGGUGGGGUAACGGCUCACCUAGGCGACGAUCCCUAGCUGGUCUGAGAGGAUGACCAGCCACACUGGAACUGAGACACGGUCCAGACUCCUACGGGAGGCAGCAGUGGGGAAUAUUGCACAAUGGGCGCAAGCCUGAUGCAGCCAUGCCGCGUGUAUGAAGAAGGCCUUCGGGUUGUAAAGUACUUUCAGCGGGGAGGAAGGGAGUAAAGUUAAUACCUUGGCUCAUUGACGUUACCCGCAGAAGAAGCACCGGCUAACUCCGUG